UGUAAGCGUAUACCAAAGUUGUUGCAGUUAAAACGCUCGUAGUCGGAAUUUGGCAGUUCCGGAUGUGUGCACGUCGUGUGCGCACUUCGCGGGGAUUGCUUUUGUGGUCUUGCGUAGGAUGAGGCACUUUUAUUAGUGAACGUCCUCACGCAACCACUUUUAACUGUGAGAAAAUCAGAGUGCUCAAAGCAGGCAUUUGCCGUGAAUGUAUUAGCAUGGAAUAAUAGAAUAGGACUUGGUUCUAUUUUGUUGGUUUGUUGGGACUGAGUAAUGAUUAAGAGGGACAGUUGGGGGCAUUUGUAUUUCGGUGCUAGAGGUGAAAUUCUUAGAUUACCGAAAGACAAACUGCUGCGAAAGCGUCUGCCAAGGAUGUUUUCAUUGA
This 382-nucleotide ribosomal RNA is filed under the name uncultured eukaryote. RNAcentral describes it as "partial 18S ribosomal RNA". It matches the Rfam family "Eukaryotic small subunit ribosomal RNA", at positions 592 to 976 of the family's 1831-position model. The record is from RNAcentral.